CUGCAGUCAACGAAAUCGACCAGGUUUUUAUACUCAUGGGGCCCUGUGUACAACAGUUCCAAGCAACAGUCUCCUUGGGAGUAUGCAACCUGUACCUUGUUUGGGUUGCCCUGAGGGGUCUUUGAAACUGUU
This is a small nucleolar RNA of Mesocricetus auratus (golden hamster), 132 nucleotides long. Its record names the gene SNORA70. It matches the Rfam family "Small nucleolar RNA SNORA70". Rfam says of the family: snoRNA U70 seems to be exclusive to mammals and is a member of the H/ACA class of snoRNA which contain H (ANANNA) and ACA box motifs. H/ACA box snoRNAs are involved in the conversion of uridines to pseudouridines (5-ribosyluracil) a constituent of structural RNAs (transfer, ribosomal, small nuclear, and small nucleolar). The record is from Ensembl. NCBI's taxonomy places the organism in Eukaryota, Metazoa, Chordata, Mammalia, Rodentia, Cricetidae.